UACGGAGGGGGCUAGCGUUGUUCGGAAUUACUGGGCGUAAAGCGCACGUAGGCGGCUUUUCAAGUCCCAUGUGAAAGCCCACGGCUUAACCGUGGAAGUGCAUGGGAAACUGGAAGCUUGAGUACUUAAGAGGAUCGCGGAAUUCCCGGAUGUAGAGGUGAAAUUCGUAGAUAUCGGGAGGAACACCAGUGGCGAAGGCGGCGAUCUGGGAAGAUACUGACGCUGAGGUGCGAAAGCGUGGGAGCAACAGG
This 251-nucleotide ribosomal RNA is filed under the name uncultured bacterium. Its description in RNAcentral is "partial 16S ribosomal RNA". It matches the Rfam family "Bacterial small subunit ribosomal RNA", at positions 524 to 776 of the family's 1533-position model. The record is from RNAcentral.